AUUGAACGCUGGCGGCAGGCCUAACACAUGCAAGUCGAGCGGAUGAAGGGAGCUUGCUCCUGGAUUCAGCGGCGGACGGGUGAGUAAUGCCUAGGAAUCUGCCUGGUAGUGGGGGAUAACGUCCGGAAAUGGGCGCUAAUACCGCAUACGUCCUGAGGGAGAAAGUGGGGGAUCUUCGGACCUCACGCUAUCAGAUGAGCCUAGGUCGGAUUAGCUAGUUGGUGGGGUAAAGGCCUACCAAGGCGACGAUCCGUAACUGGUCUGAGAGGAUGAUCAGUCACACUGGAACUGAGACACGGUCCAGACUCCUACGGGAGGCAGCAGUGGGGUAUAUUGGACAAAGGGCGAAAGCCUGAUCCAGCCAUGCCGCGUGUGUGAAGAAGGUCUUCGGAUUGUAAAGCACUUUAAGUUGGGAGGAAGGGCAGUAAGUUAAUACCUUGCUGUUUUGACGUUACCAACAGAAUAAGCACCGGCUAACUUCGUG
This 484-nucleotide ribosomal RNA is filed under the name uncultured bacterium. RNAcentral's name for it is "partial 16S ribosomal RNA". It matches the Rfam family "Bacterial small subunit ribosomal RNA", at positions 30 to 507 of the family's 1533-position model. The record is from RNAcentral.